GUCUACAUCAGUUACUCGCAGCAGUGGUUAAUAUCAUCUGUAAUGGUUUGCAGCGUUGAUAACUGGAAGAGGCCAUCAUAACCAGAAGUGAAUGCUGAGCAAUAGACCAUGGUGAAAGUCUGGAGUGUGGAAUCGAGAGUGAAUCGACGUCUGAGGCAGGAGGACAAAGUGACGGCCAGCGUUUAAAGCUCUGGGCAGCUUCCCUUCUUGGCAAAUGACAGGUAAAACACCUCCAAACCAAAAAUCCAGCAAGGUGAUGUCAGUGAACUAAACACAGCACGCUCAUGUUUGUCAGCUUGGCUCCUCUGUGAUUUAGAGUCAAAGAAACAGAUCAUGACAGCACUACUGAAGGCAGCUUUCUGUGGUUCCCAACCCCUGAAAACAAAGUAGUGUCUACUUAUGAUCCUGCAUAGCCCGGUCUCCCUAAUGAGUACUUAUACUUUUGGUACUUUAAGUAUAUUUAGAUUACUUUUACUAAAGUAAAACUUCACUGAUUGACACUCUAUGGUGUUGCUGCUUUUACUUAAGUAAAGGAUCCAAGUACUUCCUCCACUAUCGAUCAAAGCUGCCUUAAAAGAUGUAGUAUGAAACUUUUCUGCGCUAAAAUGUCUAAAUAAGGCUUGACUUCCAUUUCAUAUUUUGACGAGUUGUGUUCCUACUCUAUCACAAAUGUUUCCAGCAAUUUGCUAACUUUGAGAAAUCCAUAACUUUAAUCAAGGUAAUGGUCCAUUUCAUACCUACUCAGUGUUGUGGUUGCCAAAAGCGUAACCACUGACAUUUUACCCAGUUUUAAGCCACAUUUUUAUGAUACAGUUCUUUGAUCUUUGUAGUUUUUAACUAUAUAUUUUAACUGGAUGAAGGAUCGUAGUCAUUAGACAUCUUGAUCUUACGUUAUCAGAGAAACAAUAAGAGCAAAUGUUAGCAGAAGCUCGACUCGCCUUUGGGACGAUUUUUAACAUGAGACUGCUUUAUUCUGUGUUUUUACCAGUUGUAAUCACUUGGUUGGUUUGUUUUGGAGAGGAGACCUCUGAGGUUAAUUCAGCUCC
Lates calcarifer (barramundi perch) is the source of this 1046-nucleotide long non-coding RNA. RefSeq lists it as uncharacterized. The record is from RefSeq and is a predicted model, not a curated record. NCBI's taxonomy places the organism in Eukaryota, Metazoa, Chordata, Actinopteri, Centropomidae. The transcript is spliced from 4 exons.